UUUGUGGAGGGUUCGAUUCUGGCUCAGGAUGAACGCUGGCGGCGUGCUUAACACAUGCAAGUCGAACGGGAUCCAUCAGGCUUUGCUUGGUGGUGAGAGUGGCGAACGGGUGAGUAAUGCGUGACCGACCUGCCCCAUACACCGGAAUAGCUCCUGGAAACGGGUGGUAAUGCCGGAUGCUCCAGUUGAUCGCAUGGUCUUCUGGGAAAGCUUUCGCGGUAUGGGAUGGGGUCGCGUCCUAUCAGCUUGACGGCGGGGUAACGGCCCACCGUGGCUUCGACGGGUAGCCGGCCUGAGAGGGCGACCGGCCACAUUGGGACUGAGAUACGGCCCAGACUCCUACGGGAGGCAGCAGUGGGGAAUAUUGCACAAUGGGCGCAAGCCUGAUGCAGCGACGCCGCGUGAGGGAUGG
RNAcentral lists this ribosomal RNA (412 nucleotides) under Bifidobacterium sp. RNAcentral's name for it is "bacterial SSU rRNA". It matches the Rfam family "Bacterial small subunit ribosomal RNA", at positions 1 to 411 of the family's 1533-position model. The record is from RNAcentral. Lineage: Bacteria; Bacillati; Actinomycetota; Actinomycetes; Bifidobacteriales; Bifidobacteriaceae.